UACGGGGGGGGCAAGCGUUGUUCGGAAUUACUGGGCGUAAAGGGCUCGUAGGCGGCCAACUAAGUCAGACGUGAAAUCCCUCGGCUUAACCGGGGAACUGCGUCUGAUACUGGAUGGCUUGAGUUCGGGAGAGGGAUGCGGAAUUCCUGGUGUAGCGGUGAAAUGCGCAGAUAUCAGGAAGAACACCUAUGGCGAAGGCAGCUCUCUGGGACGGUACUGACGCUGAGACGCGAAAGCGUGGGGAGCGAACAGG
Molecule: ribosomal RNA, 253 nt
Filed under: uncultured bacterium
Lineage: Bacteria
Description: partial 16S ribosomal RNA
Rfam family: Bacterial small subunit ribosomal RNA
Source: RNAcentral